This 443-nucleotide ribosomal RNA is filed under the name Corbicula australis. RNAcentral's name for it is "partial 16S large subunit ribosomal RNA". It matches the Rfam family "Bacterial large subunit ribosomal RNA", at positions 1849 to 2588 of the family's 2925-position model. Lineage: Eukaryota; Metazoa; Mollusca; Bivalvia; Venerida; Cyrenidae. The record is from RNAcentral.
AAGGUUGGGCCUGCCCGGUGAUCUGAAAUGGUUUAACGGCUGCGAUUGAAACCGUACUAAGGUAGCAUAAUAAUUUGCCCUUUAAUUGGGGGAGAGAAUGAAUGGUUUGACGGUAAAAAAGCUGUUUUAAAAAUAAAAAAAGAAGUUAACUUUUAAGUGAAAAGGCUUAAGUUUUUAUAAAAGACGAGAAGACCCCGUCGAGCUUAAUUAGAACAGCUUAAAUGUAGGUUAUUUAAAAUUUUAUUGGGGCAAUAGAAAAUGAAAUAAAUCAUUUUUUUUUAUUAUAAGGAUCCAGUUUUGACUGAAAAAAGCAAAAGCUACCGCGGGGAUAACAGGGUAAUUUUUUCUGAGAGUUCAUAUUUAAGAAGAAGUUUGCUACCUCGAUGUUGGAUUAGAAUUUCUUUAUGCUUGCAGCAGGUAUAAUAGUAGGACUGUUCGUCCUU